This 435-nucleotide long non-coding RNA is filed under the name Oryza brachyantha (malo sina). RNAcentral's name for it is "long non-coding RNA (OBRA_LNC001158)". Lineage: Eukaryota; Viridiplantae; Streptophyta; Magnoliopsida; Poales; Poaceae. The record is from RNAcentral.
GAGCCUGUAGCCUAGUGGUUACAUAAGGUUUUAGUAGCACCUGAGGUCCUGGGUUCGACUCCUCGUGCCCGUGGUGACUUCGGGGUUAGGUGCUCACAGGAAAGAGUGUGCGUGCGCUGUGAGCGUCUGCGUUACACUGUGUAGUUUGAUAGACAUGGUACCAUUCAUUUUCACCCCUCAAGCUGUGUACCAAUUUGCUUUCUAGUCAACUUGCACUGCAUAUUUAGAUUUGGAGCAAUCACACUUGGCAGACUUAGAUACUAAUCUGCAUAGUAUUGUGCCUGCUUGUGUUGAAUGGUACAUGGCUCAUGGCCCGCCCUGAGCCUGCUUCUGUUGAUCAGUUUUGAUGUUAUGACUGUAAAUUUUUCAUCUAUUGCUGUGUACAGAAAUAUGGAGUAUAUGAUAUGCUGAAGCUGUAAAUUUGAAAGAGGGAAG